GAUGAACGCUAGCGGCAGGCUUAACACAUGCAAGUCGAGGGGUAUUUGGACUUCGGUUCAGAGAGACCGGCAAACGGGUGCGGAACACGUACACAACCUACCUUUAUCAGGGGGAUAGCCCAUAGAAAUGUGGAUUAAUACCCCAUAGUAUUAUGUGAUGGCAUCAUUAUAUAAUUAAAGAAUUUCGGAUAGAGAUGGGUGUGCGUAAGAUUAGCUAGUUGGUAGGGUAACGGCCUACCAAGGCAACGAUCAGUAGCCGACCUGAGAGGUGAUCGGCCACACUGGAACUGAGACACGGUCCAGACUCCUACGGGAGGCAGCAGUGGGGAAUAUUGCACAAUGGGCGAAAGCCUGAUGCAGCAACGCCGCGUGAGCGAUGAAGGCCUU
This 387-nucleotide ribosomal RNA is filed under the name uncultured bacterium. RNAcentral describes it as "bacterial SSU rRNA". It matches the Rfam family "Bacterial small subunit ribosomal RNA", at positions 28 to 418 of the family's 1533-position model. The record is from RNAcentral.